Nicrophorus vespilloides is the source of this 567-nucleotide long non-coding RNA. RefSeq lists it as uncharacterized. The transcript is spliced from 2 exons. The record is from RefSeq and is a predicted model, not a curated record. Lineage: Eukaryota; Metazoa; Arthropoda; Insecta; Coleoptera; Silphidae.
UCUUAAAAAAGACUAAUAUAUUUAAUAAUAAUUAAACUUAUCUUGGAUCAGAACAAACUUCGUUAAAAAGUAGUCAAACAGUCGUAGUUCCAAAUGUAAAUACUGCGAAAACGUGAAAGCAAUAAAAACUAUUAGAAAGGAUAAAGUAAGUAUAAGCAACAUUUAUGCGAAAAUUAUUUAUUGUUUGAAAUUUCAAAUUAUUUGGCGCUAAUACUUGCUGGUACUUGUGGAGCCGCGGCAUGUGCUGCCUAUGUACUAAGGAACGCCACCGCAUGCACCGCCAUACAACAAAUCUUUCGUGUCCCCCUAGCACCAACGGAUAGUAAAAUUAAAAAUGAACAUAUCAACAAAUAUUCAAAGUAAUCGUACGGCCGCUAAGUGUAUUCACAUUUAGAAGGUAGAAUAUGUUCACAAAAGUUUACUUUAAUCAUGUCAGGAUGCAUACAUAAAUUAUCUUAAUUAAGAUUGUUUUUAGGAAUUAGAAUAUUAAAUUUAUUUCUGCACAAUUUAUAAUACUGUUUUACUGUCUAAACAAUUUAAAUGUGAAAGAAUGCGUUUUAACAAAAA